UCGAGCGGAACGAGUUAUCUGAACCUUCGGGGAACGAUAACGGCGUCGAGCGGCGACGGGUGAGUAAUGCCUAGGAAAUUGCCCUGAUGUGGGGGAUAACCAUUGGAAACGAUGGCUAAUACCAUGAUGCCUACGGGCCAAAGAGGGGGACCUUCGGGCCUCUCGCGUCAGGAUAUGCCUAGGUGGGAUUAGUAGUUGGUGAGGUAAGGGCUCACCAAGGCGACGAUCCCUAGCUGGUCUGAGAGGAUGAUCAGCCACACGGAACUGAGACACGGUCCAGACUCCUACGGGAGGCAGCAGUGGGGAAUAUUGCACAAUGGGCGCAAGCCGAUGCAGCCAUGCCGCGUGUAUGAAGAAGGCCUUCGGGUUGUAAAGCACUUUCAGUCGUGAGGAAGGUGGAGUGUUAAUAGCACUAUCAUUUGACGUUAGCGACAGAAGAAGCACCGGCUAACUCCGUGCCAGCAGCCGCGGUAAUACGGAGGGUGCGAGCGUUAAUCGGAAUUACUGGGCGUAAAGCGCAUGCAGGUGGUUUGUUUAAUCAGAUGUGAAAGCCCGGGGCUCAACCUCGGAAUUGCAUUUGAAACUG
This 586-nucleotide ribosomal RNA is filed under the name Vibrio parahaemolyticus. RNAcentral's name for it is "bacterial SSU rRNA". It matches the Rfam family "Bacterial small subunit ribosomal RNA", at positions 62 to 635 of the family's 1533-position model. Lineage: Bacteria; Pseudomonadati; Pseudomonadota; Gammaproteobacteria; Vibrionales; Vibrionaceae. The record is from RNAcentral.